This 207-nucleotide ribosomal RNA is filed under the name uncultured bacterium. Its description in RNAcentral is "partial 16S ribosomal RNA". It matches the Rfam family "Bacterial small subunit ribosomal RNA", at positions 568 to 774 of the family's 1533-position model. The record is from RNAcentral.
CUCGUAGGCGGCUUCGUAAGUCGGAGGUGAAAGGUCACGGCUCAACCGUGGGAACGCCUUCGAAACUACGAAGCUUGAGUCCGAGAGAGGAAAGUGGAAUUCCUGGAGUAGCGGUGAAAUGCGUAGAUAUCAGGAGGAACACCAGUGGCGAAGGCGACUUUCUGGCUCGGUACUGACGCUGAGGAGCGAAAGCCAGGGGAGCGAACA